AGAAUCAACGCUGGCGGCGUGCCUAACACAUGCAAGUCGCACGAGAAAGGGGAGCAAUCCCUGAGUAAAGUGGCGCACGGGUGAGUAACACGUGAAUGAUCUACCUCCGAGUGGGGAAUAACUGAGAGAAAUCUUAGCUAAUACCGCAUAACACUUACGAGUCAAAGCAGCAAUGCGCUUGGAGAGGAGUUCGCGGCCGAUUAGCUAGUUGGCGGGGUAAUGGCCCACCAAGGCGAUGAUCGGUAUCCGGCCUGAGAGGGCGCACGGACACACUGGAACUGAAACACGGUCCAGACUCCUACGGGAGGCAGCAGUGGGGAAUUUUGCGCAAUGGGGGAAACCCUGACGCAGCAACGCCGCGUGGAGGAUGAAGCCCCUUGGGGUGUAAACUCCUUUCGAUCGGGAAGAUAAUGACGGUACCGAUAUAAGAAGCCCCGGCUAACUUCGCGCCAGCAGCCGC
This 460-nucleotide ribosomal RNA is filed under the name uncultured bacterium. RNAcentral's name for it is "SSU rRNA". It matches the Rfam family "Bacterial small subunit ribosomal RNA", at positions 26 to 518 of the family's 1533-position model. The record is from RNAcentral.